This 478-nucleotide ribosomal RNA is filed under the name uncultured bacterium. Its description in RNAcentral is "partial 16S ribosomal RNA". It matches the Rfam family "Bacterial small subunit ribosomal RNA", at positions 28 to 523 of the family's 1533-position model. The record is from RNAcentral.
GACGAACGCUGGCGGCGUGCUUAACACAUGCAAGUCGAACGGUAAGGCCCUUCGGGGUACACGAGUGGCGAACGGGUGAGUAACACGUGGGUGAUCUGCCCUGCACUUCGGGAUAAGCCUGGGAAACUGGGUCUAAUACCGGAUAGGACCACUGCCUGCAUGGGUGGUGGUGGAAAGCUUUUGCGGUGUGGGAUGGGCCCGCGGCCUAUCGGCUUGUUGGUGGGGUGAUGGCCUACCAAGGCGACGACGGGUAGCCGGCCUGAGAGGGUGACCGGCCACACUGGGACUGAGAUACGGCCCAGACUCCUACGGGAGGCAGCAGUGGGGAAUAUUGCACAAUGGGCGCAAGCCUGAUGCAGCGACGCCGCGUGAGGGAUGACGGCCUUCGGGUUGUAAACCUCUUUCAGCACCGACGAAGCGCAAGUGACGGUAGGUGCAGAAGAAGGACCGGCCAACUACGUGCCAGCAGCCACAGUAA